Molecule: small nucleolar RNA, 106 nt
Organism: Cephalotus follicularis
Lineage: Eukaryota; Viridiplantae; Streptophyta; Magnoliopsida; Oxalidales; Cephalotaceae
Rfam family: Plant small nucleolar RNA R71
About the family: R71 is a member of the C/D box family of snoRNAs containing the C (UGAUGA) and D (CUGA) box motifs.
Source: Rfam
ACGGCAUGAUGGGGACAUUUUUGGAUGAGGUCCUUUAAUCUUUCCAAUGAUUCAUGGAACUGCUCACCAUUCUGUUGGGAGAAGCUAGUCAGAGCUCGUCUCAUCU